Ipomoea triloba (trilobed morning glory) is the source of this 2939-nucleotide RNA transcript. It is a transcript of the gene named probable acyl-activating enzyme 1, peroxisomal, with no coding region annotated. The transcript is spliced from 6 exons. Lineage: Eukaryota; Viridiplantae; Streptophyta; Magnoliopsida; Solanales; Convolvulaceae. The record is from RefSeq and is a predicted model, not a curated record.
AGCAAACUAUAUAUAUUAUAAUCCUAUUGCAUUGCUUUCUUGGAACGUGCAGUGCAGCUCCUGAUCUGUUUAUGGUGAAAGGGAAGCAAUAAUAUAAUCUACGGAAACAACAGAUUUCCGUAGAAGGAAAUGCAGAAGAGAUCUAUGCAUAAAGCUCGCAUCUAUACUCUCUCAAUUGGGAAUGCAUGAAAAUUCUAAUAAGAUUGCAUUAACAUCAGAGCUGCAGCUAGAAAUGGAUGGUUUAGAAUGGCGCGCAGCAAACUAUAUACUCCGUAUAUAACAACAUUGACGACGCCUAUUGGUUUCUUGGAUCGUGCAGUGCAGCUUCAAUUCUGUUUAUGGUGAUAGGGACGCAAUUAAUAUAAUCCACGGAAACAACAACUGAUUUCCGUACAAGGAAAUGCAGAAGAGAUCGAUGCAUUAAGCUCGCAUCCGCACUCUCUCAGUUGGGAAUAUAAUUGAUCCAUGCAUGGUGUUGAACAUUUUAGCUCGGAUUUCGUUCAGCAGCGCAGCUCAUAUUGCUGGUAAAUCCAUCCAUCGAUCAGAUAAGAGGUGCAGCUAGCUAGCUAGCUAGCUAGGCAUGGAUGGUUUAGAACGGUGCGCAGCAAACUAUAUACCAUUGACCCCUAUUGGCUUCUUGGAACGUGCAGCUUUAGUUUACGCCCAUACCGUCGCAAUUAUUUACGCAAACCACAAAUUUUCGUGGAAGCAAUUGUACCAGAGAUGCAUCAAUCUCGCAUCUGCACUCUCUCAGUCCGGAAUCGGUCGUGGCAGCAUUGUAGCAGCAAUGGCACCUAAUAUUCCACCCCUGUAUGAGCUCAAUUUUGGUGUCCCAAUGACAGGUGCUGUCCUUUCUGCCCUUAACACAAAGCUUGACUCGCCCACUUUGUCGAAAAAACUAGCCCUAUUGAAACCCAAAACCAUUUUUGUUGACUAUGAAUACGUUGAGGUUGUCGUUGAAUCCUUAGACUUAGCAAAAAUAAGCCCACCACCGCUCCUAAUCUUGAUCUUGGAAGACACUAAGCUUGAUCAUCAUGAGAAUGGAGCAUAUGAUUCCAAGUUUCACAACAAGAUUUUUAAGAACGGAGAAUCUGGUUCCAAGAUUCAGGAUAAGUUUCUCGAGAACGGACAUUCUGAACGCAAGAGAUACGACAAGCUUCUCAAAAAGAAGGGGUUCAAUUUCAAGAUUUACUCUGAGUUUAUUGAGACGGGGAAUCCUGAUUUCAAGACUGUGUACCCAGACGACGAAUGUGACCCGAUAGCGAUCAAUUUCACUUCAGGCUCAACAGGGAACCCCAAGGGAGCAGUGUACAGCCACAGGGCAACUUAUCUGAACACCAUAGCACAAAUCUUCCGCACUGAAAUGGCCGGAAAAUCGCCGGUUUUUCUCUGGACGGUCGACAUGUUCCGGUGCAACGGGUGGUGCCUGCCGUGGACCAUGGCGGCUCUCGGCGGCACAAACAUCUGCAGCCGAGAUUCUUCCGGACAAGCAAUCUUGGACGCCAUUUCCCGCCACAAUGUCACACAUCUCUGUGGUCAACCCCUCAUUUUGACCAAAAUUGCCGAAACCAUAGAGAAAAAAAACACAAAUUUUCAAUUGCCUCCAAACAAAGUGGACGUAAUUGUCGCAGGUUUAUUACCUCAACCCGAAAUCCUAUCCAAAUUAGAAGCAAAAGGGUUCAAAAUAAGCUAUGCAUAUGGCAUGACCGAGGCUCUAGGUCCAAUUACAUCAAUCCCUUGGAAUUCCCGCGAGAAUUCGAAACAGAAGGUUCUAGAAGGCGAGAAUUCGAAGCAGAAGGUUCUAGAAGGGAUGCACAACAUCAUGGUACACGGCGCUGACGUGAAAGAUCCGGUGACCAUGAAAAGCGUGCCGGCGGACGGGGAAACCACCGGAGAAAUCAUGUUCAGAAGUAAUACUAUGAUGUUAGGGUACUACAAAAACAAACAAGGAACCCAAGAAGCCUUUGAGGGGGGGUGGUAUAGGACUAGGGACAUUGGGGUGAAACAUCCUAGUGGGUACAUAGAACUUAAGGAUAGGAGAGCUGAUGUGAUCAAACGUGGGACAGAGAUUAUUAGUAGCCUCGAAAUUGAGAGUGUUUUGGUUAGGCAUCCCGUGGUUUUGGAGGCUGCGGUUGUGGGGAAACCUGAUGAGGUUUUGGGGCAGACAGUUUGUGCUUUUGUGAAGUUCAAAGAAGGGAGAAGUGCAGAAGAGGGAGACAUUAUCAAGUUCUGUGAAGAGAAUUUGCCUCACCAUAUGGUCCCCCAGGCUGUCAUCUUUGGGGAUUUGCCACUUAAUUCCACUGGGAAGAUACAAAAAUUUGCCUUGAGAGAGAAGGCAAAAUGUCUUUGCAAGACGUUUAAUAAUGGCAAGUGUAACCAUUUCUAAUUGCAGAAUGGUCAGCACACUAGUGGUAGGGAACUGAUCAAAUGAGAUCAAACCACCAACCUCAUGCAUAAGGGACGAGGUGCUGAACCACCACACCAACCAGGUCUUGCUCCACUGCCUAACUCCAUAGAGUGUGCACUGGGCAGUGUAGACUGCAGCAGCAGCCAAAAGGGAUGGUGAACAUUCAAGCAUUUCAUACUCCACAAGGCACAGCUCUAUCAAGAAGAAUGACAGUAAUUCAAGCUGUAAAACAGUCCAACAUCAUAUCCCUCUCAGUUUCAUUAAUACAAUGCAGCAAAAUAAGGUAACACAAGUACAUAAUUAACAUGUUUAAAUCCUCAAACCUUCUUGUCAGAUUCAGCAGCCUUAAGGAAUCUUCUCAUAAAGACACAGGGAGUAGGAACUGACAAUUUAAACUGCAAUGUUUUAAGCAUCAAACUUUCCUGUACAGAAACUUAAUGAAUUAGUAACUUAAUUAGUAUAAAACCUUUGUUAGGAUUCAUGGAUUUAUUUGAUAUAUAUAUACUAACCAUAUCAAGAACUUCUUUCCUUG